Molecule: ribosomal RNA, 443 nt
Filed under: uncultured bacterium
Lineage: Bacteria
Description: SSU rRNA
Rfam family: Bacterial small subunit ribosomal RNA
Source: RNAcentral
UUCGGCUUAGAGUUUGAUCCUGGCUCAGAUUGAACGCUGGCGGCAUGCCUUACACAUGCAAGUCGAACGGCAGCGCGGGGCAACCCGGCGGCGAGUGGCGAACGGGUGAGUAAUAUAUCGGAACGUACCCUGGAGUGGGGGAUAACGUAGCGAAAGUUACGCUAAUACCGCAUACGAUCUAAGGAUGAAAGUGGGGGAUCGCAAGACCUCAUGCUCCUGGAGCGGCCGAUAUCUGAUUAGCUAGUUGGUGGGGUAAAGGCCUACCAAGGCAUCGAUCAGUAGCUGGUCUGAGAGGACGACCAGCCACACUGGAACUGAGACACGGUCCAGACUCCUACGGGAGGCAGCAGUGGGGAAUUUUGGACAAUGGGCGCAAGCCUGAUCCAGCAAUGCCGCGUGAGUGAAGAAGGCCUUCGGGUUGUAAAGCUCUUUUGUCAGGGAAG